AUACUAAUUUAUGAGUUUUGGUUUGUUCCUAUGCGUGAGAAAAAUAAAGAAGACAAAUUAAAAAGAUGUUGAGGAAUUGUCAUCGUCAACUUUGAGGAUCCGUAUACAUUAUUUUGUCAAAAGAAUUCUGAGGAUGCGGCGGCGGGUUGAUAGGAUUCUGGACGUGAUCGUGGAGGAGCACCGCCGCAAGAAGAGCGGCGAGUUCGGCGGCGAAGAUAUCGUCGAUGUUAUGCUCAGGAUGCAGGAAAAUGAAGAGCUCCAUUUCCCUACUACUGAUCUCAACAUCAAAGCCAUCAUUUUCGUAAUCCCGAGUUGAGUUUAGAUUUUUAAACUCAACUCGGGAUUUCGGUAUUAGGAAAGACCAACUCGGGAUUUUAGUGCGUGUUUUGGCCUAGUGUUAGAUGAUUAAUGUGCAAGUUUUGAGCAUCUGGGUUCGAGUUCAUCGUCGCGCGAUCUAUUUAUUUCUUUCUUUACUUGUGUAAUUUAUUAAAAGAAAUGAAGUGAACUUAUUGGAUCUACUAAUUAAUCUGUCA
This is a long non-coding RNA of Salvia miltiorrhiza (redroot sage), 533 nucleotides long. RefSeq lists it as uncharacterized. The transcript is spliced from 2 exons. NCBI's taxonomy places the organism in Eukaryota, Viridiplantae, Streptophyta, Magnoliopsida, Lamiales, Lamiaceae. The record is from RefSeq and is a predicted model, not a curated record.